Molecule: non-coding RNA, 73 nt
Organism: Parelaphostrongylus tenuis
Lineage: Eukaryota; Metazoa; Nematoda; Chromadorea; Rhabditida; Metastrongylidae
Source: the annotation of a GenBank genome assembly
GCGUUCGUGGUGCAACGGUUCAGCACUCGCUCGCGAAAAGAGUGAGAUCUGGGUUCAAAUCCCCGUUGACACA